This is a long non-coding RNA of Esox lucius (northern pike), 2044 nucleotides long. NCBI's taxonomy places the organism in Eukaryota, Metazoa, Chordata, Actinopteri, Esociformes, Esocidae. The record is from Ensembl.
GAAGGAUGUAACUUUUUUAAAUGCAUAAAAAAAAAAAAUCGGGUCUGGUGACAUGCAUAUGUCUUACUGUUAAUGCCCACUACAACGGAAUAAAUGUAAUUAAAAAUACGUUUUGCAGUCUUGAAUCACUUAUGACGAUCUAAACAGCGUUAGGUAUAGAGCGCCCUCUUUUGGCCUGACUAAGUAGAACAUUGAAAUAGAAUUUAGAAAACGAUCGUUUCUGAGAAAUGAUUGUUUAUUCUAUAUUUGGCGUUGUGGUGUCUGCAUUCACAACUCCAUCUUAAUUAGUUUACUUAUUUAUUUGAUGUGUGUAUUCUUGUCUAAUAGAUCUCGUUUACUGGCUUUCUAGAAGGAAUUUAAAACUAAAGUAAAGAUGCAUCUCCAGUGCAUUUGCAUAAUGGCUGCAGACAUUCCUUGAUGAGCAGGUGUUAAAUGUAAUCAAAUGUACUUUAAAUCCUGUGGACCUAUCUACAUAAGUGAUAAUGAAAGGGGGGAAAGUGACCAUCCCUGAAGUUUGUAUAGAUUGUUAGCUCAUAAUCACUAGUUGUAGAGCUAAUGAUGAGCUGUCUUAUAGUGAAAGCUCAUCAGAGUUCCUGACUCUCCAGGAACCAGGUGUACUGCUCCUAAACUUCACUGUCAGUCACAUGAGAUGGAUCAUCUCUAAUACAAGGAAGGCCUUCCUAAAUCAGUGAGUGAGACCCCAUAAAUAUACAGGCCAAUAACCUAUCCAACGCUAUGUCAAACUGUGUGGCUAUUUUAAUAUGGAUUAAUAAUUGCUUAAUGUUCCAAAUCAUGUUAACACAUUGCUAGAUUAAAUACGGACACACAUUUCAAAGGUGAUUGUAAUAUCCGUUCUGUAAUUAUCAUGUAGAUUACAGGAUGUGAUAGAAGGGAGAAAACUCUACUUCAUUGAGCUGGUGAGAUAACUAAUAUCUAUUGCCAUUCACUAUAUCCUUUUUUCUGUUGACGAUAGCCUAAAAAAAAUGACAUUGUUUAGUGUGUAAGUAAAUGCUUUGUACACAGACAUUGGAGACCGCAGGUCGCUGCCAACUCAUUGACUUUUUCCAGGAUGUCCUGGGAGAGCUCAAUGUGGAGUAAUGCCUGUCUCUCCAGACCAAUGAAAAGGUCAUGGUGGAGGGGCUGUCUCUCCUGACUGGCAGCACCGAACCGUCACCUUGGUUGAGCGGCAACGCAGAGAAACAGCCCACUACUGUCAUGUCAUUGCACUCGCUCCAGGUGAAGUUCUCCAGCCUCACCCAGGCAGAGACGCCACAGGUCAGGGAGGUCAUGGAGAGCUUCCCUGUGUUGUCAGAAAGCGAAAGGACAACGGCCUCUUCCGAAAAAGCUUUCAUGGAAAUUGACACUAAGGGUAUGGGAGCUGCCUGCACCAGCAAGACCUUUCCGAAGCAGAUCGUGGUCCUCAGCUAUGCUACUCGGCACAUUAUCUUCCUGGCGCUUUAAGUUAAUUGCAAACCAUUUCGGAAUGGACUUUCCCUGAAGGUCAUCACCCAUCCUGUGGGUCCAGGUCACGGAGGAGAAGCAGCUGGUUAAUGGACUGCUCUUCAGCAGUCCAUAGAACAAUUUCAGCUGUCCAAGAACGCCAGAGAACCUGGAGAAAAUUCUGGUGAUAGCUCUCUGAAGUCAAAGGUUGUCUACCGGUAUGUUGUUCACCUCAUAGCUCUGUGGAUCACCAGGAGGCCCUUAUUACCCAGACUAUGAUAGAGACCCACUCUCUCAGCUUUGAGUUAGAAGAUGUUGGCAUGGCUAAGAUAUUGCUCAAUGAGGAAAUACAGCAGGAGCAAGUCAAUAGCAAGCCUUCUGUCCCAGAGUUUUUAGGAGACAUUAAAACCGAAACACAGCAGUGGACAGGAAGUUGCCCAGGACAAACCCAAGAAGAUGAGGCAGAUUUGCUACUUCUUCAGAAGGCUUUUUUGUACAAGCACUCAAAGAAGGGGCUUCUGAAGCCUUACGGUCUCUCUAAGACUUACAAAAGGAUUCAAACAGCUUAAUAUUGUAUUUUUUUUCCCAUGAUUUUGAAACAUUU